UGAACUGGGUUUGGCACAGAUCGAAACCCUUGUCCUAUCGAAUCGACAAUCGCGUUCCUACUCGAGCCACUAGUACCUGUGUGAUCGACGACGGUAGCUGCGUUGGGUGAAAACGCCCUCCAAUCGGUCAAGAACUCCUUCGGUAGAACUGGAUUUAGGACGGGUUGAAAGCUUUGCCAUCUUGAAUCCACGGUUGCGAUCCCGAUCGUGCUGGAGUUACCCACAUGAUCGUUGGUGAUAACUUCAUCAGGUGAAGAUGCCCACGGAUCGGUCCAGAACUCCUUGAUGGGUGAAAUCGGGUUUAGAAUGGAUUGAAACCCUUGCCAUCUUGAAUCGACGUUCAUGAUCCCACCGGAGCCGGAAGUACCCGCGUGAUCGGCGAAAGUAGCGGCGUCAGGUGAAGAUGCCAACAGAUCGGUCCAGAACUCCUCGAUGGGUGGAAUCGGGUUUAGAAUGGAUUGAAACCCUUGCCAUCUUGAAUCGACGUUCAUGAUCCCACCGGAGCCGGAAGUACCCGCGUGAUCGGCGAAAGUAGCGGCGUCAGGUGAAGAUGCCAACAGAUCGGUCCAGAACUCCUUGAUGGGUGGAAUCGAGUUUAGAAUGGAUUGAAACCCUUGCCAUCUUGAAUCGACGUUCAN
Molecule: long non-coding RNA, 638 nt
Filed under: Musa acuminata (dwarf banana)
Lineage: Eukaryota; Viridiplantae; Streptophyta; Magnoliopsida; Zingiberales; Musaceae
Description: long non-coding RNA (MACU_LNC002337)
Source: RNAcentral